Molecule: small RNA, 568 nt
Filed under: Pongo abelii (Sumatran orangutan)
Lineage: Eukaryota; Metazoa; Chordata; Mammalia; Primates; Hominidae
Description: processed transcript
Source: RNAcentral
AACCCGUAGUUGAUGUAUCUAACCUAACAGAAUUUUCAGAGAAAAGAAGUGAAAUAAGAACUAAAAAUAAAUUUGUAUAAGUCUUUAAAAAUGAGAGUUGUUUUUUUUUUUUUUGGCUUUUGGAAGGUAUUUGAGAUGGACAUUGCUAAACAGUUACAAGCUUAUGAAGUCGAGUACCACGUCCUUCAAGAAGAACUUAUCGAUUCCUCUCCUCUCAGUGACAACCAAAGAAUGGAUAAAUUAGAGAAAACCAACAGCAGCUUACGCAAACAGAACCUUGACCUCCUUGAACAGUUGCAGGUGGCAAAUGGUAGGAUCCAAAGCCUUGAGGCCACCAUUGAGAAGCUCCUGAGCAGCGAGAGCAAGCUGAAGCAGGCCAUGCUUACCUUAGAACUGGAGCGGAAGGCCCUGCUGCAGACGGUGGAGGAGCUGCGGCGACGGAGCGCAGAGCCCAGCGACCGGCAGCCUGAGUGCACACAGCCCGAGCCCACAGGCUACUGACAGCUCUGCAGGAGAGAUUGCAACACCAUCCCACACUAUCCAGGCCUUAACUGAGAGGGACAGAAGA